UGGUGAGGUAGAGGCGCGAUAAGCAAGAGUAACUGACGAAAGGGUGAUUCCGUUUGAUUGUCAGCCAAAGGCUUAAUCGCCGAAGUGAGAGAAGAGUAUCGAACUCUCUUGCUGGGGUUGUUUCCGAAAGGGACAACACUGCCAUAGUCUAUUGUGUUGUUAAACUAUGGAGCGCUACUGUGGGG
Molecule: non-coding RNA, 185 nt
Filed under: Vibrio sp.
Lineage: Bacteria; Pseudomonadati; Pseudomonadota; Gammaproteobacteria; Vibrionales; Vibrionaceae
Also listed under: 1 other name
Description: Lysine sequence
Rfam family: Lysine riboswitch aptamer
About the family: Riboswitches are metabolite binding domains within certain messenger RNAs that serve as precision sensors for their corresponding targets. Allosteric rearrangement of mRNA structure is mediated by ligand binding, and this results in modulation of gene expression. This family includes riboswitches that sense lysine in a number of genes involved in lysine metabolism, including lysC.
Source: RNAcentral